Molecule: long non-coding RNA, 100 nt
Organism: Myiozetetes cayanensis
Lineage: Eukaryota; Metazoa; Chordata; Aves; Passeriformes; Tyrannidae
Exons: 3
Source: RefSeq, a predicted model, not a curated record
UGUGCUCAGGUGUAGUUCAGGUGUGCUCAGGUGUAACUCAGGUGUAUCCCAGGUAACUCAGGUGUAUCCCAGGUAACUCAGGUGUGCCCAGGUAACUCAG